This 397-nucleotide long non-coding RNA is filed under the name Rattus norvegicus (Norway rat). RNAcentral's name for it is "long non-coding RNA NONRATT011573". Lineage: Eukaryota; Metazoa; Chordata; Mammalia; Rodentia; Muridae. The record is from RNAcentral.
CGGGAAAUGGAGGCUUCGGUGGCAAGCAUAACCUGCUCAGAUGUCUAAAGUGGUUAAAGGAAUGUGGAUCACGUUAUAGGUGUUUGGUUUUUACCAUGACUGCUGAAUCGGUAACGACCUGUUCCAGAGCCACCGCUGGAUUCAGAAGGAGCUGGCAAAGGCCACUGGCAAAUGCCGUGAAGGAUUACGGCAGUGUGGAUGGCCGUCUUAAGGCCUGAGGCAGAGACUGAGGGUUCCUAUUCCAGAGUCAACAUUCAGGCCUUCAGCACCCGAAUGGACUAAGCUUACUGAAGUCACCGGCAGGUCUUCCAAGAUUUCCGAAAACGUACAACGUGGUGCGAUGUCUUCUGCGCGCGCGACAACGUUGUCUGCUCCUCUCCAUCUGUGUUUUAUCACG